Molecule: long non-coding RNA, 309 nt
Filed under: Sorghum bicolor (sorghum)
Lineage: Eukaryota; Viridiplantae; Streptophyta; Magnoliopsida; Poales; Poaceae
Description: long non-coding RNA (SBIC_LNC012126)
Source: RNAcentral
GGGGAUUUACCGAGUGUCGUAUUUAUAGGUUCGCUCUAAGGAAGGCUUAAUAUGUUAAGGAUUCUAAGAUAAGCAUAGAUCAAAAUAAUUAUGAUAGCAAUAAUGGAAUCAAAGGUCAUAACAGGUGAUAAACAUUUAUAUGUAGAACAGUGAUCCAUCACAAUCUAGGCAUGGCAUAUGGGCUAAGGAAUAAAAAGAGACUAAAAGAAUGAAUUGAAUCAAAGAAUAAACAAACAACCUAUUGGAGUAGGUGUGGUCCUAGAUACAGAUCAUGUCAUAGAACAAGUUAAUCAUGUAAUUAUACUACUU